Molecule: RNA transcript, 4058 nt
Organism: Dermochelys coriacea (leatherback sea turtle)
Lineage: Eukaryota; Metazoa; Chordata; Testudines; Dermochelyidae
Gene: HVCN1
Gene name: hydrogen voltage gated channel 1
Exons: 7
Source: RefSeq, a predicted model, not a curated record
AUGUCCAUGUAUCUGAAACACUUCACUGUUGUGGGAGACGACCCCGUGCAGUGGGGCAAUGACUACAAGAAAUGGGAGGAAGAGCAGGUGGAGGAGGAAGGUGGGCAGAAGCCGGAAGAUUCAACGAUUAACAUGAAUUCCUCAGUCAGACCUAGUUCCUUCCAGGAUGUGAUGAAAAAGGUCUUCAGCUCCCGCAAAUUUCAGAUAUUGGUUGUUUGCUUGGUCAUUUUGGAUGCUUUGUUGGUGCUCACUGAAUUGCUUCUGGACUUGAAAAUCAUCCACCCAGACAAACAUGAAAUAGCACCAAAGGUAUUUCACUACAUGAGCCUUUCUAUUGUAACCCUCUUUUUGGUGGAAGUUGGGUUUAAAAUAUUUGUCUAUCGUGUGGAAUUUUUUCACCACAAGUUUGAAGUCCUGGAUGGAAUUGUGGUGGUGGUUUCGUUUAUCAUCGAUGUCGUCCUUCUGUUUCGGGAACAUGAAUUUCAAGCGGCUGGACUAUUGAUCUUACUCCGACUGUGGCGAGUGGCCAGAAUUAUAAAUGGAAUAAUUUUAUCAGUAAAGACACGCUCUGAACAACGGGUGUCAAAGCUGAAGCAAGCAAAUCUGCAACUUGCUACAAAAGUUGAACAACUUGAAUACAGCUGCACAGAGAAGACUAAGGGCUCUCUCCCAGCACUCUGCAGCGACUACACAAGCCACAUUAAAGCACUGCUGCAGCAACACUUUAACGUUGCCAGUGAAGACGUGCCCUAAGGAAAACAUAAGAGCAACAAUGUUUACAUAACAAGGCCUCUGUCAUGUACAACUUAUAGACAGGUGUACAGUCACCUGAUGAGCCUUCAAAAGAAAAACCACCAAAGCAUUUGGAGGAUGUGAACACACAGCUCUGAAAUUCUCCCUUGCUCAUGCAUCCAGUGUGGAUGUGCUGCAACAUUGAUUGAAUAUAUAGCUGCUUCCUGAGUGCAAAGCUGGCUGUCACCUCUGCAAACAAAUAUACAGAUCCAACAAAGUCAAUCUUGACAAUGUUAUUUUAAAAUCUUUAUAUGCAUGUAUUGUUGUAACAGAAGGAAGGCAACAGUGGGGAUGGAUAAGUACAGUAAAGAUUUGAAGAUCACUUACUUAUGCACUCUUACAAGGCUUAACAUUUUAUAUUGUUUAUCCCAGGAAAAACCAACAACACUUAGCCAUUCUCCAAUAUCUUUCAUUCACAGAUUUCAAAAUAGAGGGAUGUGAUAAUAGCCACCGUUCAAAGUAGGACAGCAUUUGAUGACAAUGAUAUAAAAGAUGACAACUCAGAUGGGAUCCAAUUGGCUUCAGAUAUCACAAUGGUGCAUAUGUUAAAGACUGGACAUUCAGAAAGUGCUUUUAUUCAUACCAGAGAGAAGGUAGGGGAUGGGUUGGAAUGAGGCUGAACAUAGAGAAGACUGCAAGAGGAUCAGGGGAAAAUGAGGUGCACAGACUUGAGAUAGCAGCAGAAUCAUAUCACUCAUCUUCAUAAAAAGAAUAUAAUGAACUGCUCACAACACUUAGGAGACAAAGGAUGGAAUGAGAAACAUCAAGGAGGGGAAAUAUUGAGUCAGUUUAGGAUAGGUACAAUGUGUUACAAGCAUCCUCAAUGAAGAUCAACAAGAGAAUUUGGUAUUGCAGCGGGUAUGGUCAAUAGUGAGUGGGGUUUUCCAAUAAGACCUCCGUGGAUGGUAAAUGUCACACUCUGAAGAGUACUAAUCCCCCCUGCGUUGGCUAGUGGACUUGAAUAUGAGACGGUGAUUCCUCAUGUGCUAGAGGGAGUGGAUACUGCAGAGCGGUCAAAAGCAGUAAAAGGACAUUAUCAAAAUUAAAAGAAAUGGCAUGUAUGGAAUUUAUAGAAUCCUGAACACUACAUUUCUCUUUUAUUAAGUUAUGCUAGUUAGACAUGACCCAUUAGGUAGAGUGUUGUAAACUAUUUCAUAAGGUGAACCACAUCUUAACAGGCCCACAUCAUGGACCAUAUUCCUGCUCCCUCAGGAUUCCACAAACCACCUCCCCUCCCAUUCAUAAUUAUAACAGCCCUGUAGCAACUACAGCAGUUGCUUACAUGAAAGUUACCAUCUUUUUUAAAGUGAGAUGUAAAACUUGUGGCCAUUGACAAUCCCUUGACAUGUCACAAAAGAUUUGAGAAAAAAGCUUGAGAAAAAGAGUACAGCUUGAUUUUAUGCAUUUCUAGUUGACAAGAAUAAAAUAUUCAUAGCGGAGGAGUCAACUGUCAUUCAAAAAGGCUUUGAUUACACCUUUCCGAUAUAUAUAUAAAAUACCUAUAAAUGGGUGGCAAUAUGCAUUGUGGCAAGAACAAAGAAAUAGCAGUCCCAGGUGGCUGAAUGAUUCAAAGUUCAAAGCACUGAGAAUAAACUCAGUUAUUCAGAUUGGGCUAAUUUAUGCAGGAAGUGGUUUGAAGAGCUAUGCUUAUUGUUCUGAGAAGUCACAUUGAGCUAUUUUAAAUUCAGACUCUAUAAUGAGCUUUCUUAACUCCUGUUUGAGAGGCUGAUACCGGUGCAAAGCUACAUACUGAAAUAGGUUGUAAACAGCAACAAAAGUCAAACAAUAAGCCUGCAUUAUAUUACUAUCAUGUUAUAUUUUAAUAUUUUACUAUGCUACUUUAGAAAGGCAAAAAUUGCCAAUGAGAUGAAAAGAUUCUAUGCUUGCUCCUAAAAGAGAGAUCAGAGGAAAGCUCACAUUAUUUAAUGAUGGCCAUGAUGCUAUCACGUUCCUAGGGCUAGGACUUCUUACAGCAAAGGAUUCCCAAACUAACACUGAUGGAUUAUUGGUGGUCCAUGGAGAGAACCACCUGCUCACCUGGUGCUAACACUCCUAAUUUCUAGCUUCUAAAUUGUAUUGAUAGGAAGCUGCAUAUGUUUUACACUUUCUCUUAAAGAUGGCACCCACAAAAACAAUGCCUUUAAUGUCACAAUAAGGUAUUGAGUCAGUACUGACAUCGAGGGAAAGGUGUAACCUACAUCACUCCCUGCAAAACCUGCAUUUUCCUUCAAGAUCUCCUAUCCAAGCAACAGACAGACAUGACCUUAUUUAGUUUGACAGGUCUGAUGAGAUUACAAUCCAAGGCAUAGCAUAGUGAAAUUAAUGUAGAAGUUCAAACAUCUGUUCCAAAUAGCCACCCAGUGCUAUAACGGAUACUAAAUUACCUUUGUAUCUCCAUGUCAAGAUGUAGGCUGAAGUCAUUCCUGAAGUAAUAAUGAGAAUAGUGCCAGCACUAAAUUCUUGACAUCAGAACAAUUAGAGGCUCAGCUCCAUAGCCUUAAAUAUUCACAUCCCACUCAAAAGUGAUCUUUUACAAACCUACAGCUCCCUUUUUUACUUCAGAAACAGUUCAGUGCAAACAGACACAUGUCCCAACAAGAGACCAUUAUCAGCCUCCCUUGGGACUUCUCUUCAGCUGUAAAGAGAUAUCACUAAAACUAACUCCAGACUGACGGAGGUAUACAAACCCCACAUUGGACAGGAAGGGGUUAAAAAGCAGGACUAAACUGAAGCCUCCCUGCUCCACCACAUCUGUGAGGCAUUUCAGGCCUUAAAAAGAGGGAAGCCCAGCCCAGCCCCGUUUGGGGCGAAGUGUAAAUGAGGACAAAGACUCCUCCAUGACCACAGCCAGUCUAAGCAGAACUGGGCAUAUCCUGAAUGUCUAUUUCACAGCUCCUGUCUGUGAUUUACCCGAGGGCUUUGAACCCUUAUACAGACUGCUGGAGGUCCCUUGUUUGAAGGCAGGCUUGCUGCUGUCUUUCAUUAGUUUGUUUAUGACAGUCCCAGAAAGGGAAGACUCCCAUGAGAUUCAGGUGAAGGCCCGAGUCUCCCAGGAACAGGAGACCUGUGCUGAUGACUGCCUAGGUGCUGAGGACUGGAUGGCGGGUGAAUGCAGUGCCCUGUCACACAGCAAGGAGGUUCUGUGGGAAAACAAGUCCACGAUGCAGACCCUAGCCUGUAUCCAUUGAAUUCAAUGAGAAUAUGAUGGGACCCUGCAUCUUUGAGCUGAAAAAAAAAAAAAAGUUAUUUAUGAACUUACGUGACAA